This 504-nucleotide ribosomal RNA is filed under the name uncultured Glomus. RNAcentral's name for it is "SSU rRNA". It matches the Rfam family "Eukaryotic small subunit ribosomal RNA", at positions 569 to 1078 of the family's 1831-position model. Lineage: Eukaryota; Fungi; Glomeromycota; Glomeromycetes; Glomerales; Glomeraceae. The record is from RNAcentral.
AGCAGCCGCGGUAAUUCCAGCUCCAAUAGCGUAUAUUAAAGUUGUUGCAGUUAAAAAGCUCGUAGUUGAAUUUCGGGAUCAAUUUACUGGUCGUGCAAUCGUACGUACUGGUUUUAUUGAUUCUUCUCUUCUGAAGAACUAUGAUGUCAUUAAUUUGGUGUCAUAGGGAAUCAGGACUGUUACUUUGAAAAAAUUAGAGUGUUUAAAGCAGGCUCACGCUUGAAUACAUUAGCAUGGAAUAACGAAAUAGGACGUUUGAUUCUAUUUUGUUGGUUUCUAGGAUCGACGUAAUGAUUAAUAGGGAUAGUUGGGGGCAUUAGUAUUCAAUUGUCAGAGGUGAAAUUCUUGGAUUUAUUGAAGACUAACUACUGCGAAAGCAUUUGCCAAGGAUGUUUUCAUUAAUCAAGAACGAAAGUUAGGGGAUCGAAGACGAUCAGAUACCGUCGUAGUCUUAACCAUAAACUAUGCCGACUAGGGAUCGGAUGAUGUUAAAUUAAUGACUCA